CUGACAACCAAGUCUCAAAAAAGACUGAGAUGAGCAGAUUUUUGCCUUGGCUUUGCAGAUGCAUCUUGUUUACAUAAGGUCCUUCAUUGCAUCCAUUCCUGCAGGAGACAGAGCCUGGUGGCAGCAGGAGAGAGGCAGAUCCCAUGCAGAGUGGAAAGAACGCCGCUUCGGAAAUGCUUGGCUUCAAAGAAGUAUGUAUAUGAGAAAUGAGUCAGCUGAAAAGUAUCAUGAACAUCCUAUCUGGGAACUAAACAGACUGCUUCAUCAAAUGCCAACAUUACUGUUGGCAUUUGGUGUUACGGCCACCCCUGGAGACAGGCUUCUAAACCCAUCAUUUAAUUGCUGAUGAGAGCACUGACAGAAAACAAUCAACUGCUUUUUCAUAGAAAUAGAAAUUAGUCUGUACGUACUCCUUUCAUCUGCUUCACGCUCACAAAAGCUUCGCUCUGAGGAGGUUGUGCAGCUGAGCAGAGGAGAUAUGACUCAUCCCUGUUGUUGUGUGAUCUGCCCAGGCCUGUUUGUGCAGAUGUGUGGUGGGUGUGGGUGUGAGGGUGAGAGGAGGGAAUGGUGAUAGCCCACCAGGUCCAAAUCUGCCCCUGCCACAACUCCAGUUUACCAACAUUUUGCUCUUAAUCAUCUCCCUGAAGCUCAAACCCUAGUGAAUAAGUGCACAGCAGUGCCUGGAGACAAACAUUCAGAGUGAGAACACUGCAUCCUGUUCUCACUCUGAAGAAUGUUUGAUGUUGCAGAGGAUGGCAAACUGCAUCUGAGAUGCUAGUGGGAGGGAUAAAAUUUUCCACUUCACUGUCCCUCCCCCCUCAAAGAAUUUUAGAGGUUAAGUGAUAUUAAAAACACAAGAGAGUUGAGAGCAUCAGCCACCAGGCAUUGCGUUAUCUCAUGUGCUAAUCUCACUUGUCAGAUGAUAUCCCAGAGAUGGGAGCAUGACAGAACAAAGCUGACUGGAGGUCCUAAAUCACAGAGGCACAGUAUUUGUUACAGGUUUAGAAGCUGUGAUCAAGGACAGCAUGCUAAGAUCUUUCAAGAUGUUUCCUUUAGUUUCUCCUCUCUACCAUCACCUUUAAUAAAAUCUUAGUUAACUUUAAACA
Molecule: long non-coding RNA, 1106 nt
Filed under: Numida meleagris (helmeted guineafowl)
Lineage: Eukaryota; Metazoa; Chordata; Aves; Galliformes; Numididae
Description: lncRNA (ENSNMEG00000000301.1)
Source: RNAcentral